GAUGAAGAACGCAGCGAAAUGCGAUACUUGGUGUGAAUUGCAGAAUCCCGUGAACCAUCGAGUAUUUGAACGCAAGUUGCGCCUCAAGCCAUUAGGUUGAGGGCACGUCUGCCUGGGCGUCACAUAUCGUUGCCUGAUGCCAGUUUCCUCGUGAUGGGUGACUGUGCAGGGCGAAUGAUGGCUUCCCGUGAGCAUUGUUGCCUCAUGGUUGGUUGAAAAUUGAGUCCUUGGUAGGGAGCGCCGUGAUAGAUGGUGGUUGAGUGACGAACGAGACCCAAUCAUGUGAGACCCCUACCGAAUUUGGCCUUCAUGACCCACAUGCGUCUUUGGAACGCUCAUGACGAGACCUCAGGUCAGGCGGGGCUACCCGCUGAGUUUAAGCAUAUCAAUAAGCGGAGGA
RNAcentral lists this unclassified non-coding RNA (400 nucleotides) under soil metagenome. RNAcentral describes it as "partial contains 5.8S ribosomal RNA, internal transcribed spacer 2, and large subunit ribosomal RNA". The stretch from base 1 to 122 matches the Rfam family "5.8S ribosomal RNA", at positions 35 to 154 of the family's 154-position model. The record is from RNAcentral.